RNAcentral lists this ribosomal RNA (459 nucleotides) under uncultured bacterium. RNAcentral's name for it is "partial 16S ribosomal RNA". It matches the Rfam family "Bacterial small subunit ribosomal RNA", at positions 338 to 795 of the family's 1533-position model. The record is from RNAcentral.
CCUACGGGGGACUGCAGUGAGGAAUAUUGGUCAAUGGCCGAGAGGCUGAACCAGCCAAGUCGCGUGAGGGAAGACGGCCCUACGGGUUGUAAACCUCUUUUGUCGGGGAGCAAAGCGAGUCACGUGUGACUCAUUGAGAGUACCCGAAGAAAAAGCAUCGGCUAACUCCGUGCCAGCAGCCGCGGUAAUACGGAGGAUGCGAGCGUUAUCCGGAUUUAUUGGAUUUAAAGGGUGCGCAGGCGGAGGUGCAAGUCAGCGGUCAAAUUGCGGGGCUCAACCCCGUACUGCCGUUGAAACUGCAUGCCUUGAGUGCGCGAGAAGUAUGCGGAAUGCGUGGUGUAGCGGUGAAAUGCAUAGAUAUCACGCAGAACUCCGAUUGCGAAGGCAGCAUACCGGCGCGCAACUGACGCUCAUGCACGAAAGCGUGGGUAUCGAACAGGAUUAGAUGCCCUGGUAGUC